This 753-nucleotide ribosomal RNA is filed under the name Streptococcus gallolyticus subsp. gallolyticus. RNAcentral describes it as "bacterial LSU rRNA". It matches the Rfam family "Bacterial large subunit ribosomal RNA", at positions 1 to 760 of the family's 2925-position model. The record is from RNAcentral. Lineage: Bacteria; Bacillati; Bacillota; Bacilli; Lactobacillales; Streptococcaceae.
AUAAGGUUAAGUUAAUAAGGGCGCACGGUGGAUGCCUUGGCACUAGAAGCCGAUGAAGGACGUGACUAACGACGAAAUGCUUUGGGGAGUUGUAAGUAAACAUUGAUCCAGAGAUAUCCGAAUGGGGGAACCCGGCAUGUGAUGCAUGUCACUCAUUACUGUUAAGGUAAUGAAGAGGAAGACGCAGUGAACUGAAACAUCUAAGUAGCUGCAGGAAGAGAAAGCAAACGCGAUUGCCUUAGUAGCGGCGAGCGAACUGGCAAGAGGGCAAACCGAUGUGUUUACACAUCGGGGUUGUAGGACUGCGUUGUGGGACGCAAGAUUAUAGAAGAAUUACCUGGGAAGGUAAGCCAAAGAGAGUAACAGCCUCGUAAUCGAAAUAGUCUUAAACCCUAGCAGUAUCCUGAGUACGGCGAGACACGAGAAAUCUCGUCGGAAUCUGGGAGGACCAUCUCCCAACCCUAAAUACUCUCUAGUGACCGAUAGUGAACCAGUACCGUGAGGGAAAGGUGAAAAGCACCCCGGGAGGGGAGUGAAAUAGAACCUGAAACCGUGUGCCUACAACAAGUUCGAGCCCGUUAAUGGGUGAGAGCGUGCCUUUUGUAGAAUGAACCGGCGAGUUACGAUAUGAUGCGAGGUUAAGUUGAAGAGACGGAGCCGUAGGGAAACCGAGUCUUAAUAGGGCGGCUUAGUAUCAUGUCGUAGACCCGAAACCAUGUGACCUACCCAUGAGCAGGGUGAAGGUGAGGUAAA